CAUCUUCUUACACCUCAGGGUCUUUCAUAACACAGACAUCUGAGAAAACUGCCAAUGAUUUAGGUACAAUCCAACUAUUUUUAAACUGUUAUCACAUGACCUUAGGAUACAACAUUCAGAUCUCUCUGUCUCUCUCUUCUGUGUAUAUCUCUCUUUGUAUCUCUCUCUCUCUGUCUCUUUCUCUCUCUCUCUGUCUCUCCCUCCAUCUCUCUCUCCCCUGCCGUAACUCUUCUUCUUCUCCCUGGCCUGGCUCCAACCAAGCUGUCAGACAGAGGCCCUGUUCCAGCCCGGGCAUUGACGUCAGGCGCUCGCGGGGCGCUUGUGUGUGGCAUCUGCCAAACGACGAGAGCUUCUCAGCCAGAAUGUCUGUCUGCCAGUAUUAUUACUGCACUGUUGGAGCUAGAAACACAAGCAUUUACCAGCACCUGCGAUAUCAUCUGCAAAUCUGUGGGAGAUGGGAUGGGGUUUGCUGGCGUCUGGACUAGUCCACCAUGGUGGAACUAAAAGACUGAAUCAAGUGGCAUGAUCCAAGUCCCCCUGGGGGGCCAGAGCUACAGAGACUGGAAAUUACUGUCCUUCACAAGACCCCACUGGGAUAAGACACCGUAGACAUUCCAUUCUGAAAGGGAUGUCGAAGUGUGCAAAACAGGGCAAUUGCAAAGAAUGUACAGAAGUGGGAAGGUGGUGCCUGUUCUUUUGUACUCUGCGUGUUCAGAAAAGCUUCAUAGGACACCAAUUUCAUGAAGAAAUAAAAUUAUAGGUAGAUCCCUUGGAAAUAAUGAGGAGGUUGUGAGAAUGGGGGCCAUUAUAGACAUGUGCCGUAGCACUCACAGGGUGGCUUCUAUACAGAACAUGGGUUUUCAGCACCCACAAAGGAUUUGUGUAGCCUAUCUGUCACAUCCUGACCUUAGUUCCUUUUUUAUGUCUCUGUUUUAGUGUGUUCAGGGCGUGAAUUGGGGUGGGCAUUCUAUGCUUUUGUUCUAGGUUUCGUAUUUCUAUGUUAGGCCUGGUAUGGUUCCCAAUCAGAGGCAGCUGUCGAUCGUUGUCUCUGAUUGAGAACCAUACUUAGGUAGCCUGUUUUCCCACUAUGUUUUGUGGGUAGUUGUUUUCUGUGUCUGUGUUUACCAUACAGAACUGUUUCGUGUCGUUCACUCUCGUCGUCGUUGUUGUUUUUGGUCAUUUAGUGUUCUGUUUAUUUUAUUAAACAUCAUGAACACUUACAAAGCUGCACCUUGGUCCUCACCUUCUUCCACCAACGACAGCC
This is a long non-coding RNA of Oncorhynchus tshawytscha (Chinook salmon), 1264 nucleotides long. The record is from Ensembl. NCBI's taxonomy places the organism in Eukaryota, Metazoa, Chordata, Actinopteri, Salmoniformes, Salmonidae.